UCUGUGCUGGGAGAGGACAGAACCGCCCUAGCUCUUUCCUGCUUCUUCCCCAGCAGGUUUAUUUCGAACCGCAUCGGGGAAAUGGACAAGAUCCCAAAGCUCAUUCCUUCCUUCCCCCAGGACUCAUUCCCUGCGGCUUUGUACUUCACCUCCUACGUCGAAUCUCCUUAGGAAACGAGGCGCACGGGAGGGGACACCUGGGAGCUGAAGCGAACCCGUCCUUGGGUCUUUGACCGCCCUGGCCCAGAUUUUCUCCGGAGCUCUUCAUCCAUCUCACCCCCAGUCCCGGGUUAUGAUCCCCAGCCCCGGCCUCUGCCAGAGAUCCAGCUGGCCCUCAGGCGCUCCAGGCUGUCCCCUCCCUUCCAGUUCCAUCCUGCAGCUCCGGGCAGUGGAGAGCAGCUGGAUUCCCGCCCACCCUGCUCCCUCGAAGACCACACCAGUCAUUUCCAAAAUACUGAGAUGAGCAAAGUGAUUUCCGUACAAAGCAGCAGAGUAAUGUAGCGAUUUCAAAUGUCAACUUCAGGCUGUUGAAGAAAAACAGUUCUCUUCACACUCCCCCCACCCUUCCAAACAUUGAGUUUCCAUCACCUGAAUUCAAACCAGUGGCAUGAAGACUCUUUGCUGGCCUAGCCGAAGCUUGGAAAAUCUGCCUGGGAGUUAUAUUUUGGAUCUUUAAGAAGGGGGGGGGGGGAGGGUUGGAGAGG
Molecule: long non-coding RNA, 704 nt
Organism: Trichosurus vulpecula (common brushtail)
Lineage: Eukaryota; Metazoa; Chordata; Mammalia; Diprotodontia; Phalangeridae
Exons: 3
Source: RefSeq, a predicted model, not a curated record